AAAUCCAUAAUGGAAAAAUGUUCGUUUGCCUUGUCAGAUUGAUCAAAAUCGCACAGCAUCUUCGUCUCCUUGAAGAUAAUGUCUCAAACCCUUUUCAAAACAUUCCCCAAACUUGCUCAUAUCGCAAUCACCUGCAAAAACGGCGCCGUUUUUGCACCCAGCUCAUCAAAUUUUUAUCUUCCAAGAACAAGCAUAACAAGAACUAUAUGUUGUUACAGUUCAAGCAGCGAAAAGGGUUCGAAUUUCGAGGCAUUUGGGAGGGAAUUGUUGGGCCUUUCUGAUGAGCAAUUGCUGAGUCAGUGUGAUCAGACCACUUUUAAGUCUUCUGGGCCUGGUGGGCAGCAUAGGAAUAAGAGGGAGACUGCUGUGAGGCUUAAGCAUCUUUCAACUGGCAUUGUUGCUCAGGCUGCAGAAGAUAGAUCACAGCACAUGAAUCGUGCAUCUGCAUUGACUCGGUUGCGAACUCUGCUGGCUCUUAAAGUCAGGAACACUAUAGAUCUUGAUACAUAUUCACCUCCACCGGAGCUUCUUCAGAUUCUUCCAGCAAAAUCUACCAUUAGAGGAAAAGAUAUUGGUUCACAAAUUGGCCCCAAAAAUCCGAAGUUUGUUUUGGGGAUGCAAGCUUUGCUGGAUUUGAUUUGUGCAGUGGAUGGUUCUGUAGCCGAUGCAGCAAAGAAGUUGGGGCUAAGUACUGGGGCUCUGUCACGAUUGAUAUUAUCAGAUGAUUCUCUUCGAAUGGCAGUGAAUGAAUUUAGAGGAUCCAAGGGAAUGAAGCCUCUCAAAUAGCCUUCUUCAAAUGGCAACUUUAUGCAUCAGGUGCAGAAGUGAUCUUCUUUCUUGUUCUAGCUUACAGAUCUCCAUGAUUUCUUCAUGGAUCGAUUCCUUUUGACAACCUGUGUCGGCUGACUGGCCCCAUAUGCACUGAUCGUUGAAUACAUAUAGCCACAAGGAGAAAGGUUUCAUUAAGGUGUCCUGGGUAACUCAGCGAAUUGUUGUGGAGCCUUGAUGCUGUUUUCAAAUACAAUUAUCAUUUUAAUUGUAAUUAUUAAUAUGUUUAUCCCUUCUACUUCUGAACUAUGCUUUUGGUAUUAAAAAGGUUAAAUUAUCUGCAUGAAGUCCUUAAAAAGCCGAGACAUUAAUUGCAAGCACAAUUUUUGCGAUGAA
Molecule: RNA transcript, 1164 nt
Organism: Daucus carota subsp. sativus
Lineage: Eukaryota; Viridiplantae; Streptophyta; Magnoliopsida; Apiales; Apiaceae
Exons: 7
Source: RefSeq, a predicted model, not a curated record